AGGUUGACAUUUGUGCAUAAGAGGAUAAAUGAGGGCAUUAAUGUUGCAGUAGGGACCGCUGGGCGCUGAGGUCUGUGUGAGUGUGUGUGUUCAGCACUAUUUAAAUGACAAAACCUCAAGCCUUGAGGAGGGUGUUGCUGACGCCCCUCUGCUGCCUGUGCUGAUCCAUCCCUGUCCAAAUAAUCAAAUCUUGUACUUUCAAGGAGUGUUACUCCUGCUUAGCUUAAAUACAUCUUCAAAGGUCUGCAUAGAUUUACCCCCCCUCCUCCCGCCUCUCUUUCUCUCUGUCAGCCUCUGCUUCAUAUCUGCCACAUAAUUGACAGCAGCAGCAACAACAAAGCUUAUGUUUUGUAACUGAUGAGUGGUAGUGAUGCCUCAGGAUACCCAGCAACAUCUCACCCCACACACAGACACACACAGCAUAGACGCCGUUACUCUAAUUGAGGCAGCGCACAAGAGGCAGACUCAGAGAUGUGUGUCGUACUGUUGUCGUCUGUCAUUUAGAUAAAAAGAUCUAAGGUGAUGAUUUUGUUUCGUGCCGAACAACGUCCCGCUCAAUUGAACAUGCCACAGAUUGUAGGUCCAUUCGGCAGCAGCAGGUGCUUUGAAAUGGUAAUGGUGUCGUUUGAAAAGUCCUGCACUGUGGAGUCUGAACAUCAUCAGGCUCUUGUGGGGGUGGAGAGGAGAGCCAGAGAGCGGAGGGGGAGGGAGAGGGAGAAAGGGUGGGAGUCUGUGCCUGUUAAUGCAGCAGAGCAUAAAGAAAAGCGAUGGACUUCAGCCUGGUGUGUGUGUGAGAGUGUGUUUAUAUGAAGUAGAAGAUAAGUAGGUAUCAGUUUUCAACAGGGUAACGACCUGGUUUAAGCUCAACAGCCUGAAAAUUCAGAUGGGCUCAAGUGCAGUAUCUGUGGAGUGUGAUAAUGCUGUUUAAAAGGAACCAAUUAAAGUGCUCUGACACCACUAGCUAAAACGGAACCAUUAGUUUAUUAAAGCACUUUGUAAAACUGAAUCUGACAUUAAAAAAGGGUAACAAGGCCGAGUGUGUUUUACCAGCAUGAAUCUCAUUUCAAGGCUAAAACUGUGCAACCUCUCCACAGGAGAAUAGAAGACUUCACUUAACCUGAAAUCGACUUAAAAAACUAUUUCUAAGUGAGCUUUGAAUAUGAUUUAUCAGUUUCUUUCUUCGAGCUGAAAUAUUCUACUGAGUUUGCAAAAGGCACGGUCUUCAAGAGUCUGACAGUAUGAUAGCCUUAUUUAAAACAUAUCAGGGUUUCAAGGCAUUUGAAGAUUGUGAUAACAGCAAGAACAGCAACUUUUGGACUCUGGGUAGAAAGUAAGUUUUUUGAGGUUGAACACGAUCUAUUUUAUUCACAAAAAACUUAAAGAAUAUCUCGAACAUUGUUAUGGAUGUCUUUUAAGUGAAAAUACUGAUAUAAAUGAUCCUGCAAUGCAUUUUAUUCACAAACCCAUACACUACCACUACCAGGAAUAAUAAUGCAGUAUUGAUUCUGCAGUUUCAAUAUUGAUGCAUCAAGAGCCCUUCCAAAAAUGCUGUAUCUCUCAUCAAAUUUACAUACGCAGUUAGGUUUAGUUACAGUUAAAGGUCAAAGAUGUGAUUUAAUUGGACUCCUGUUCUUCUCCCAGUUUAAAAGCAUCAGGCAAGAAUCAAAUUAUUGACAGAAUUAUGCCCACCCCUGCUACAGUACACGGUGUCUCUUCCUACUCGUUACAUCUCCUGGUUUAACAAAAACGUAACAUACCAGAAUAAUCGACAAAUGUAUUUACAAAUGGCAAAUGGGAUGAACAUCAAAAGAUGAAAACAUGUGGACCCUGGAGCAUGUGUAGGAUGCUUACACCAGUGUUAGUCCAAUGGAAGUAAAAGCAAGGAAGACAAAUCCUCCAAACCAUAUGACUGUGAGAAGUUUAUUUUAAUGCAAUUUCAGUUGGACUAGGAUACACGUAUUUAAAAGUCUAAUUUCAGUCAAACUAAUGCAAUAAAUUCCUUUUCGUAGAGUGUUAUUUAAGUUAAGUUCUCUGUCUGUUUCUGUGAUGGUUGUCUGACAAGCACCUACUUUUCCUGGUUACCUGGGUGCCCAGUAGAUGAUUGGUUUGAUCCCCUUAUCCAACUGCAGGCUGGCAGCCAGUGAUAUACUUCAGAAACAGUCUGAGCGCCUCAUUGUGACCCUGGGUGAAGCAGUUUCUCUCUAUGUACUCACAAGCUUCUCUUUCCUCCUUGUUGAAUACAGAUAGCUAAAAAUUUCCCGUGGGUUUUGACUAGGAUUAUUCUGUUAGCCUCAAAUUCCCACAAGAAGUCAGGGUGAACUGUUGAGAGAGCGCAGCAGAAAGACUGAAUUUCAACUUAGAAAGAUGCAAAAAACAAAGGCAGUGUCCCAGUGUGUUGUUAACCCCCUGACAUUAAACAAUGACGGCACUCAUGAAAGCUGCAGAGACUCAUCAGUUCUGGUCUCUGACAAUCUUGUUUGUCUUAUAAAGAAUAGAUCACUUUCAUAGCUCAGAGAGAAGCAAAGGCCUUAUUUUGGCCAAUUUCAUAACCAUAAUAAAAUCCUGUCGAUCAGAACGGUUUAGGUCUUUAUUGUCAUUGCUCUAAAAGCAGCAAAAGGACAGUUUAGCAUCUCUUGGUAGUUGCACCACAAAGUAAUGACUUUUCAAAACAACAAGAAAAGAAAAGAAAAAAAAAACAGAAAAACUUGUGACAACCAGAUUGUUGUCAUAGAAACUGCAUGUACUGUUUUGUGCGACAAACAGACCCAUGUUAAACAAGAAUAACUUUAUUUUAUCCCUGAAGGGAAAUUCAAUCAUCUGCAGUAUCAGUUGUCAUGUGUCAAAAGUCAUCUACUAUUUAAGGAGGGAUUGUAAAGUCUGAUGGCUGUGGGUAAAAAAAGAUCUUCUUAAAGCUCCUAUCAGUGACUUUUUGUUGGUGUAGACAAAUUGGACUCCCUCGUCUUUUAUUGUUUUUUAAUUCAGUGUCUUUGUCCUUCAAUUGUUCCAGUUGCCUGAUGAAAAAUGUCACCUGCUGCCUUUUAGCAUGAAAUUGCGACACCCAAUAAUAGUUUGUCCUGUGGAAAUUGUGAAAUAAGACUUUUUAAGGGAGGUGGAGCUAACUACUUAAUCCAAAAGCCCCCUGGUGGCAGUGUCAGGUAUUUAAAAAAAUGAAAGUAACACGAUCUAUUUUCUUGAUUAU
This 3199-nucleotide long non-coding RNA is filed under the name Xyrichtys novacula (pearly razorfish). The record is from RNAcentral. Lineage: Eukaryota; Metazoa; Chordata; Actinopteri; Labriformes; Labridae.